RNAcentral lists this ribosomal RNA (972 nucleotides) under uncultured bacterium. RNAcentral's name for it is "bacterial SSU rRNA". It matches the Rfam family "Bacterial small subunit ribosomal RNA", at positions 464 to 1432 of the family's 1533-position model. The record is from RNAcentral.
GGUGGGUGACGGCNCCGUGGAGAAGAAGCACCGGCUAANUACGUGCCAGCAGCCGCGGUAAUACGUAGGGUNCAAGCGUUGUCCGGAUUUACUGGGCGUAAAGAGCUNGUAGGUGGUGUGUCGCGUCGUCUGUGAGAUUCCGGGGNUUAACUCCGGGCGUGCAGGCGAUACGGNCACGACUAGAGUGCUGUAGGGGUAACUGGAAUUCCUGGUGUAGCGGUGAAAUGCGCAGAUAUCAGGAGGAACACCGAUGGCGAAGGCAGGUUACUGGGCAGUUACUGACGCUGAGGAGCUAAAGCAUGGGGAGCGAACAGGAUUAGAUACCCUGGUAGUCCAUGCUGUAAACGGUGGGCGCUAGGUGUGGGCUGUGUGUUUGCAGUCUGUGCCGUAGCUAACGCAUUAAGCGCCCCGCCUGGGGAGUACGGCCGCAAGGCUAAAACUCAAAGGAAUUGACGGGGGCCCGCACAAGCGGCGGAGCAUGUGGAUUAAUUCGAUGCAACGCGAAGAACCUUACCUGGGUUUGACAUGCACCAGAUCGGCGUAGAGAUACGCCUUCCCUUGUGGUUGGUGCACAGGUGGUGCAUGGUUGUCGUCAGCUCGUGUCGUGAGAUGUUGGGUUAAGUCCCGCAACGAGCGCAACCCUUGUCUUAUGUUGCCAGCACAUUUUUGGUGGGGACUCAUGAGAAACUGCCGGGGUCAACUCGGAGGAAGGUGGGGAUGACGUCAAAUCAUCAUGCCCUUUAUACCCAGGGCUUCACACAUGCUACAAUGGUCGGUACAACGGGUUGCGACACUGUGAAGUGAAGCUAAUCUCUUAAAGCCGGCCUCAGUUCGGAUUGGGGUCUGCAACUCGACCCCAUGAAGUCGGAGUCGCUAGUAAUCGCAGAUCAGCAACGCUGCGGUGAAUACGUUCCCGGGCCUUGUACACACCGCCCGUCACGUCAUGAAAGUUGGUAACACCCGAAGCCCAUG